This 463-nucleotide ribosomal RNA is filed under the name uncultured bacterium. Its description in RNAcentral is "bacterial SSU rRNA". It matches the Rfam family "Bacterial small subunit ribosomal RNA", at positions 30 to 486 of the family's 1533-position model. The record is from RNAcentral.
AUUGAACGCUGGCGGCAGGCCUAACACAUGCAAGUCGAGCGGUAGAGAGGUGCUUGCAUCUCUUGAGAGCGGCGGACGGGUGAGUAAUGCCUAGGAAUCUGCCUAGUGGUGGGGGAUAACGUUCGGAAACGGACGCUAAUACCGCAUACGUCCUACGGGAGAAAGCGGGGGAUCUUCGGACCUCGCGCCAUUAGAUGAGCCUAGGUCGGAUUAGCUAGUUGGUGAGGUAAUGGCUCACCAAGGCGACGAUCCGUAACUGGUCUGAGAGGAUGAUCAGUCACACUGGAACUGAGACACGGUCCAGACUCCUACGGGAGGCAGCAGUGGGGAAUAUUGGACAAUGGGCGAAAGCCUGAUCCAGCCAUGCCGCGUGUGUGAAGAAGGUCUUCGGAUUGUAAAGCACUUUAAGUUGGGAGGAAGGGUAGUAACCUAAUACGUUGCUACUUUGACGUUACCGACAGAU